CCGAGUUUACAACUCCCAAACCCAAUGUGAACGUUACCAAACUGUUGCCUCGGCGGGAUCUCUGCCCCGGGUGCGUCGCAGCCCCGGACCAAGGCGCCCGCCGGAGGACCAACCUAAAACUCUUAUUGUAUACCCCCUCGCGGGUUUUUUUAUAAUCUGAGCCUUUCUCGGCGCCUCUCGUAGGCGUUUCGAAAAUGAAUCA
RNAcentral lists this ribosomal RNA (202 nucleotides) under Trichoderma harzianum. Lineage: Eukaryota; Fungi; Ascomycota; Sordariomycetes; Hypocreales; Hypocreaceae. The record is from RNAcentral.